Molecule: ribosomal RNA, 327 nt
Filed under: Oenococcus oeni
Lineage: Bacteria; Bacillati; Bacillota; Bacilli; Lactobacillales; Lactobacillaceae
Description: bacterial SSU rRNA
Rfam family: Bacterial small subunit ribosomal RNA
Source: RNAcentral
GUUGAGAGACUGGCCGGCCACAUUGGGACUGAGACACUGCCCAAACUCCUACGGGAGGCUGCAGUAGGGAAUUUUCCGCAAUGCACGAAAGUGUGACGGAGCGACGCCGCGUGUGUGAUGAAGGCUUUCGGGUCGUAAAGCACUGUUGUAAGGGAAGAAUAACUGAAUUCAGAGAAAGUUUUCAGCUUGACGGUACCUUACCAGAAAGGGAUGGCUAAAUACGUGCCAGCAGCCGCGGUAAUACGUAUGUCCCGAGCGUUAUCCGGAUUUAUUGGGCGUAAAGCGAGCGCAGACGGUUUAUUAAGUCUGAUGUGAAAUCCCGAGGCC